This 3567-nucleotide long non-coding RNA is filed under the name Mytilus galloprovincialis (Mediterranean mussel). The record is from RNAcentral. Lineage: Eukaryota; Metazoa; Mollusca; Bivalvia; Mytilida; Mytilidae.
AACAUCCUUUAACAACUUCGACGGAAAAACUAAUAUGUAAAAUAUGAUUUAAGGUAGAGAAAAGAUUUUUUUUAUGCACUGAUCACUUUCAUUUUAUUUAGAUAAGCAGUAAAAUGCAAAAUAAGAAAACAAAUAAAAAAGAACCCAGUUAGUAGAUUUUGAGGAGGACGACCAGAACAAAAUUUCACAAAAUAACUAUGAAAAUAUCUUCUUUCUAAAUAUGUUGUUUGCAUACCAAUAAAAUAAUAUCUACUUUCUAUUCAAAGAAAGACAACUCGUCUUUCAAAUACUUAAAUAUCUUUCUCUGGGAAUCGACAAAUUAAUGAUGCGUGUUAUGAUUAUUUUUUUUUUAUUAUCUGGCAUUGUUAAAUUUGCCUGCAGAAAGAAAACAACUUUGUAUUCUGAAUGGCGUUUUGUUUUUAUGAAUAGCAUUUUUUUUCAAGAUUUAUAGUAUUUAAUGUCAGCACGCGUAAUAACUACAUACCAGAUGAGGUGAUACCUACAAUAAUUCAGACGUCGAUUAGAAGCAGCAUUGACACAGUGAAUGUAAAAAGGAAAAUACCGCUAGUAGUUUAUGCCACAGGACUAAGUGCAUCCAGCUAUCCGUUUUUCUCAAGUUUUUUUUUUUUUUUUUGGGGGGGGGGGGGGAGGGGAGGUUAGGACCAUGGUUUGAUUAGAACUUUUGAGGUUUUUAUGGUUUUGUUAUAUUUUGUAUAUACUUGUAUUUAUGUUUUACUUUAUGGUACUUUAUUAAGAAGUUGUAAAUGAAAAAAAAAAGAAAACAAUUGUUAACAAACUAACUGAACUCCUAGGUAAAUUAUGUUUUACUAAACUGUGUGUACGAUGAGCUUCACACAACUUUUCGAUGGCGUCUUUGUCAGAUUUUUUGUAACGUUAACCAAGUGUGUCAGUUUGGGUUGCCAACUUCAUAAGGUCAAUAUAACGGACUUGUUAAAAAAAAACUGUCAUGCAAGUGGGAUGUUUAGCUAGUUAAUAAAAAAAAAGUAAAAUCACAAAAAUACUGAACUCCGAGGAUAAUUCAAAUCGGAAAGUUCAUAAUCACAUGGCAAAAUCAAAUGAUAAAACAUAUCAAACGAAUGGACAACAACUAUUAUAUUCCUGACUUGGUACAGGCAUUUUCAAAUGUAGAAAAUGUGGAUUGAACCUGGUUUUAUAGCGCUUAACCUCUCACUUUAGCAUCGAAUUCCAUUAUAUUGACAAUGAUGCGUGAAAAAAAUGUCACAAAUAGGGGUACAAAAAAGCAACACGAAUCCCAUCAAAACUGGAGUGAUUUCAGGUGCUCCGGAAGGGUAAGCAGAUCCUGCUUCACAUGAAGCACAAGUCGUGUUGAUGAUGUUAUUACAAAGCCAGUAAAUAGUCAAAUUCGAUAGGUCACAUUCGUGAAAAGGGAAGGGGAUUGUAGUUACGAUAAAGAGAACAUAUCCGAUACAACUUGUAUAAGGCGUUGAGGCCUGGAUUGAGUCGGGUGUGUCUAUUCUGUGUUGGUCUUUCAUUGUGUAUUCGUGUUUGUUUUAUGUAAUGAGUUAAUACUUCAGUUUAAUUAUGUAUAUCUGUUAUAUUCAUUUGAUAAAAUUUACUGUUUGCAAUAGCAUUAAUUGUUCUAAAUAAUAAGGAUGUUCUUAUCCCAAGCAUAAAAACUUAAAAACUUAGCCGUAUUUGACACAACCUUUUUCAACUUUUGAUCUUCAGUGCUGUACAACUUUGUACUUUUUUUCGCUUUCGAUCUUUUAUAUCUGGGCGUCACUGGUGAGUCUUGUGUGGACGAGGCGCGUUUUUGGCGUAUUAAAUUUUAAACCUGAUGCUUUUUGUUAUUCAUUAAUCAUGUGUUUCUUUGUCUAAUACGUUCUCCUAUUUAUUUGUAUUGUAGUCCUGUAAUAUUAUGUUGUCAUUUCAAUGUUAUAUUUAACAUUGCCAUUAAAGUGCGAGGUUUGGCAUGCCACAAAAUAGUUAUCAAAAGUACCAGGAUUAUAAUUUUAUACGCCAGACGCGCGUUUCGUCUACAUAAGACUCAUCAGUGACGCUCAGAUCAAAAUAGUUAAAAAGCCAAAACCAUGUUCAACCCACCAUUUUAUCCUUUAAAAAUGUCCUGUACCAAGUCAGGAAUAUGGCCAUUGUUAUAUUAUAGUUCGUUUCUGUGUGUGUUACAAUUUAACGUUGCGUCGUUUGUUUUCUCUUAUUUUUGAGUGUAAAUUGAAAUUGCGAUAAGACGUGUCACGGUACUUGUCUAUCCCUAAUUCAUGUAUUUGAUUUUGAUGUUAUAUUUGUUAUUCUCGUGGGAUUUUGUCUGAUGCUUGGUCCGUUUCUGUGUGUGUUACAUUGUAGUGUUGUGUCGUUGUUCUCCUCUUAUAUUUAUGCGUUUCGCUCAGUUUUAGUUUGUUACCCGAUUUUGUUUUUUGUCCAUGGAUUUAUGAGUUUGAACAGCGGUAUACUACUGUUGCCUUUAUGUAUAACGGAUAUUCCAUAACGGUCGACCAACUCGUGAUUGCGUCCGUAAAAGUUACGAAGGGAUGAUUUCAACUUCACCAUUUGGAUCUCUUGGUUUAAAAAGGAAAAGGUCACAAUUGAGAAGCUGAAAUCAUCUCUUUAGUAGUAAAGUUUUGUUUUCAACCGACUCUCAUAGUCAAUUUCUAGAUAUAAGUCAUAAUCAAAUGGCAAAAUCAAAAGCUCAACACAUCAAACGAAUGAGUAACAACUGUCAUAUUCCUGAUAUGGUACAGGCAUUUUCAUAUGUAGAAAAUGGUACAUUGAACCUGAUUUUGUAGCGCUUAACAUCUCACUUGUAUGACAGUCGCAUCAAAUUCCAUUAUAUUUACAACGAUGCGUGAACAAAAGCCACAUUAUAGGUAAAAUAGUUAAAAUGUUUGAAACUAGUUUGUUGUCUUUAUCGAUUCAGGAAUUUGACAGUUGUUUUCAAUUCGAUCCGUCGGUAGAUAUAAUUGAGCUGUUAUAUUGUCAAGUUUUAAAGACUUGUCCGUUUUGAAUUUCCCCAAGAGUUAAUACCCUUUAUAUGUUAACUCUGGUAAGUGGAUUUUCUUAAUUUUUCAAGGUACGAUCAUGCCAGUAUAUAGUUGAAUAGACACCAAAUAGUAAUUCACUCAGUGCCAUGUUUUCUACUUGCAGAAUCAUCGACUAGUGGUGUAAUUUAUCAGAGGAAAAGAAAAUGUCCAUGGUGCACAAAUCGAAACAGAUAACAUGCCAAAUCACAUACAAAGACAAAAAGCAUUAAACAACAAUAAUUCGAAAAUAUCUAAGUUAGAAGAGCCUUAUUGUUUCGAAUGAUUCAACAUUUUAUGCAAGUAAUACGAGCAGGCCAUGAACAUAAUGAAACCGGAAAAAAACGUUUGAUGAACAUAUGUUGCUAUGUGAAAUAUAUGAAAGAGUUUAACUAUUUUCAGUAAGAUGAACAUUUUUAUUGUGGCUUUGGUACAAUAGUUUUAAUUGUUUAUCCUCGUCGUCUUGCUGAACUUGCUUUUGCAUUUACAUUUAACAGAAUUGGCACCCGUGUCACUAUGAUUUUGAGUCUCCAAAAAUAAAAAUAAAUACCAC